RNAcentral lists this ribosomal RNA (616 nucleotides) under uncultured bacterium. RNAcentral's name for it is "bacterial SSU rRNA". It matches the Rfam family "Bacterial small subunit ribosomal RNA", at positions 338 to 943 of the family's 1533-position model. The record is from RNAcentral.
CCUACGGGAGGCAGCAGUGGGGAAUUUUGGACAAUGGGCGCAAGCCUGAUCCAGCAAUGCCGCGUGAGUGAAGAAGGCCUUCGGGUUGUAAAGCUCUUUUGUCAGGGAAGAAACGGUCUGUUCUAAUACAGCGGGCUAAUGACGGUACCUGAAGAAUAAGCACCGGCUAACUACGUGCCAGCAGCCGCGGUAAUACGUAGGGUGCAAGCGUUAAUCGGAAUUACUGGGCGUAAAGCGUGCGCAGGCGGUUUUGUAAGUUUGUCGUGAAAUCCCCGGGCUCAACCUGGGAAUGGCGAUGAAGACUGCAAGGCUAGAGUUUGGCAGAGGGGGGUAGAAUUCCACGUGUAGCAGUGAAAUGCGUAGAUAUGUGGAGGAACACCGAUGGCGAAGGCAGCCCCCUGGGUCAAAACUGACGCUCAUGCACGAAAGCGUGGGGAGCAAACAGGAUUAGAUACCCUGGUAGUCCACGCCCUAAACGAUGUCUACUAGUUGUCGGGUCUUAAUUGACUUGGUAACGCAGCUAACGCGUGAAGUAGACCGCCUGGGGAGUACGGUCGCAAAGAUUAAAACUUCAAAUGAAUUGACGGNUUGAGACGNGCGAGAGACACAGGAGAGG